GAUGAACGCUGGCGGCGUGCCUAAUACAUGCAAGUCGAGCGAACAGACGAGAGUGCUUGCACUCUCUGACGUUAGCGGCGGACGGGUGAGUAACACGUGUGUAACCUACCUAUAAGACUGGGAUAACUUCGGGAAACCGGAGCUAAUACCGGAUAAUAUUUAGCUUCGCAUGAAGCAAUAGUGAAAGACGGUUCUGCUGUCACUUAUAGAUGGACCCGCGGUGUAUUAGCUGGUUGGUGAGGUAACGGCUCACCAAGGCAACGAUACAUAGCCGACCUGAGAGGGUGAUCGGCCACACUGGGACUGAGACACGGCCCAGACUCCUACGGGAGGCAGCAGUAGGGAAUCUUCCGCAAUGGACGAAAGUCUGACGGAGCAAUGCCGCGUGAGUGAAGAAGGUUUUCGGAUCGUAAAACUCUGUUGUAAGGGAAGAACAAGUACGUUAGUAACUGAACGUACCUUGACGGUACCUUACCAGAAAGCCACGGCUAACUACGUG
RNAcentral lists this ribosomal RNA (499 nucleotides) under uncultured bacterium. RNAcentral describes it as "partial 16S ribosomal RNA". It matches the Rfam family "Bacterial small subunit ribosomal RNA", at positions 28 to 507 of the family's 1533-position model. The record is from RNAcentral.